UACAGAGGGUGCGAGCGUUAAUCGGAAUUACUGGGCGUAAAGCGCACGUAGGUGGCGACGUAAGUCGGGUGUGAAAGCCCCGGGCUCAACCUGGGAAUUGCAUUCGAGACUGCAUUGCUGGAGUACGGAAGAGGAGGGUGGAAUUCCUGGUGUAGCGGUGAAAUGCGUAGAUAUCGUGAGGAACACCAGAGGCGAAGGCGGCUACCUGGACAAUUGCUGACGCUCAGGCACGAAAGCGUGGGGAGCAAAAGGG
Molecule: ribosomal RNA, 253 nt
Filed under: uncultured bacterium
Lineage: Bacteria
Description: partial 16S ribosomal RNA
Rfam family: Bacterial small subunit ribosomal RNA
Source: RNAcentral